Molecule: transfer RNA, 85 nt
Filed under: Felis catus (domestic cat)
Lineage: Eukaryota; Metazoa; Chordata; Mammalia; Carnivora; Felidae
Rfam family: tRNA
About the family: Transfer RNA (tRNA) molecules are approximately 80 nucleotides in length. Their secondary structure includes four short double-helical elements and three loops (D, anti-codon, and T loops).
Source: Rfam by way of RNAcentral
GCCUGGGUGGCUCAGUCGGUUGAGCAUCCGACUUCAGCUCAGGUCAUGAUCUCACGGCUUGUGGGUUCGAGCCCCACAUCGGGCU